Molecule: ribosomal RNA, 484 nt
Filed under: uncultured bacterium
Lineage: Bacteria
Description: partial 16S ribosomal RNA
Rfam family: Bacterial small subunit ribosomal RNA
Source: RNAcentral
AUUGAACGCUGGCGGCAGGCCUAACACAUGCAAGUCGAGCGGAUGAAGGGAGCUUGCUCCUGGAUUCAGCGGCGGACGGGUGAGUAAUGCCUAGGAAUCUGCCUGGUAGUGGGGGAUAACGUCCGGAAACGGGCGCUAAUACCGCAUACGUCCUGAGGGAGAAAGUGGGGGAUCUUCGGACCUCACGCUAUCAGAUGAGCCUAGGUCGGAUUAGCUAGUUGGUGGGGUAAAGGCCUACCAAGGCGACGAUCCGUAACUGGUCUGAGAGGAUGAUCAGUCACACGGGAACUGAGACACGGUCCAGACUCCUACGGGAGGCAGCAGUGGGGAAUAUUGGACAAUGGGCGAAAGCCUGAUCCAGCCAUGCCGCGUGUGUGAAGAAGGUCUUCGGACUGUAAAGCACUUUAAGUUGGGAGGAAGGGCAGUAAGUUAAUACCUUGCUGUUUUGACGUUACCAACAGAAUAAGCACCGGCUAACUUCGUG